AGGAAUCCUGAUUCCACCACCAGGAGAGAAGAUGGCGAAGUCGCGGCGGCUGAGGACGUUGAGGAGAAGAAUAUCUGGACCGUUCUACGAGGAGGAGGAGGAGGAGGAGUUGGCCAAGUUCGCCGCCCCCAAGUUCCCAGUCAAAUCCCUCCGCGCCGACCAUGGGCAACUAACUAUCAAGGCACAUGUGCCAUAGCAUGCCACAAUGAUUCAGAGAGCUGGCAGCAGAACAGGUUCUGCAUCCAAACCUUGUAAUACAAGAUGCAUAAUGAAAAGCAAAAUAACUAGGUUUUGCGUUUUCUGAAAUAGUGAACUGCAGAGUUAUAUAGCUUGUUGCAGGUGUUUUCUAUGUUGUACCUUUUCUUUUACCAUUAAUUAGUUUUUUUAUGUGCAUUUGAAAUUUUGUCGAGCUUGGGCAUAAAUUGUCAUUUACAUUAUGGUCCUGGUCUCGGACGAAGCAGAGGAAAUAGCCUCAGACUUCACUCAGAUCGGUGCUCUUAUCAACAAUAUUGGAUUGUUCCAUUCCCUCUAUGCAGGUCCUUCCCCUACAACAAUGGGUUUCCCAUAGAGGUGUUUAUAAAUGGAAAUUUUGUUGACAUGCUAAAAUGUGUUUAUCAUGAUUUUGAUUUCCAUGGAUGUUAAUUUGGUGGAUGACCACUUAGAUGUGGACUCAUGAUCUUAUUCAUCACAGCAUUUUUAUCUACUAAAGGACCAUAUACUGAUGACACUGCUUUCCGUUUUCUGGUCGGACAUUUUUGAUGGAAGACCAUUCUGAGUUAGUCAUACAUAAACGGUAUAUUCUAUGGUUGGUUUGUGUCAUUUUCGUCACUAACUUAUCUGCAGCAUGCUAUUCAUUUGAUUGAUGCUAAAAGAGCAUACACUACUGCUGGUGGUCCAAAUAACGUGAGACUUAUGAGUUGCAGUCAUAAACCAGGCAAGAUUUUGCAGAUGGUAUUGGAUGAUUCCUUUGGAGAACAGUAAUCAAAGGAAUGCUUACAGAAAAAAGGAAGGACAAUGGUCAGGGCUCUCUUGUCUGCAAUCAAGCCAGCCUUUGGUGGCCUUCAGGAACCUCAUACAAUGGUUAGGACUAUUACCAAUUCCAUCUAGCUCUAUUUUCACUAGUAUUGUUUUAAUAUGGUUUCAGUUUCAAUACAUUAUUAUUACCUGUUGUGAUUCAUCAAAAUUCCAGGAGAAAUUUCCAAGAUGGUGGUAUUAAUAAUCAUCGU
Molecule: non-coding RNA, 1226 nt
Organism: Musa acuminata subsp. malaccensis (wild Malaysian banana)
Lineage: Eukaryota; Viridiplantae; Streptophyta; Magnoliopsida; Zingiberales; Musaceae
Source: RefSeq, a predicted model, not a curated record